RNAcentral lists this ribosomal RNA (502 nucleotides) under uncultured bacterium. RNAcentral describes it as "partial 16S ribosomal RNA". It matches the Rfam family "Bacterial small subunit ribosomal RNA", at positions 30 to 523 of the family's 1533-position model. The record is from RNAcentral.
AUUGAACGCUGGCGGAAUGCUUUACACAUGCAAGUCGAACGGCAGCAUAGGUGCUUGCACCUGAUGGCGAGUGGCGAACGGGUGAGUAAUACAUCGGAACGUGCCCAGUCGUGGGGGAUAACGUAGCGAAAGUUACGCUAAUACCGCAUACGAUCUAAGGAUGAAAGCGGGGGACCGUAAGGCCUCGCGCGAUUGGCGCGGCCGAUGUCAGAUUAGGUAGUUGGUGAGGUAAAGGCUCACCAAGCCGACGAUCUGUAGCUGGUCUGAGAGGAGGACCAGCCACACUGGGACUGAGACACGGCCCAGACUCCUACGGGAGGCAGCAGUGGGGAAUUUUGGACAAUGGACGCAAGUCUGAUCCAGCCAUUCCGCGUGCAGGACGAAGGCCUUCGGGUUGUAAACUGCUUUUGUACGGAACGAAAAAGCUCUUACUAAUACUAGGAGUCCAUGACGGUACCGUAAGAAUAAGCACCGGCUAACUACGUGCCAGCCGCCGCUGUAA